GUGGUGGUGCAUGGCCGUUCUUAGUUCGUGGAGUGAUUUGUCUGCUUAAUUGCGUUAACGAACGAGACCUUAACCUGCUAAAUAGGAGCGCCUAUCUUCGGAUAAGCGUCUUUCUUCUUAGAGGGACUUUAUGCGUUUCAGCAUGAGGAAGUUUGAGGCUAAAACAGGUCUGUGAUGCCCUUCGAUGUUCUGGGCUGCACGCGCGCUACACUGAUGCGUUCAACGAGUGUACAACCUUGCCCGAUAGGGUUGGGUAACCUUUUGAACACGCAUCGUGAUGGGGAUAGAUUAUUGCAAUUAUUAAUCUUCAACGAGGAAUUCCUAGUAAUGGCGAAUCAUCAGUUCGUCGUGAUUACGUCCCUGCCCUUUGUACACACCGCCCGUCGCUCCUACCGAUUGAGCAAUCCGGUGAAUAUUUCGGACCGAAUAGCUGCGGGGUAACCCAUGACCGUUUGGAAAGUCAAGUAAACCUUAUGCUAGAGGAAGAGAAGUCGAGCAUC
RNAcentral lists this ribosomal RNA (500 nucleotides) under uncultured dinoflagellate. RNAcentral's name for it is "SSU rRNA". It matches the Rfam family "Eukaryotic small subunit ribosomal RNA", at positions 1273 to 1798 of the family's 1831-position model. The record is from RNAcentral. Lineage: Eukaryota; Dinophyceae.